RNAcentral lists this long non-coding RNA (220 nucleotides) under Ricinus communis (castor bean). RNAcentral describes it as "long non-coding RNA (RCOM_LNC003303)". Lineage: Eukaryota; Viridiplantae; Streptophyta; Magnoliopsida; Malpighiales; Euphorbiaceae. The record is from RNAcentral.
GUUAUUAAAUAUAAACAUAAGAAAAUCUAAAUCCCGGGGAUAAUAAUAAACCUUUGCACUACACCACACCCCUUACCUAAUACGAGUAUUCACUCCACUUGCAUACUCUAUCCUUCAUUUCUACAUUCUACUACUACUUUCCAAUUUGAGUGUCAUUGCUGGGACUCGAACUUGUGACCUUAGCUAACUAUUAAGUGUUAUAUACCACUAGACUACCUAC